RNAcentral lists this ribosomal RNA (198 nucleotides) under uncultured bacterium. RNAcentral describes it as "partial 16S ribosomal RNA". It matches the Rfam family "Bacterial small subunit ribosomal RNA", at positions 1306 to 1500 of the family's 1533-position model. The record is from RNAcentral.
UGCAACUCGACUGCACGAAGCUGGAUCGCUAGUAAUCGCGGAUCAGCACGCCGCGGUGAAUACGUUCCCGGGCCUUGUACACACCGCCCGUCACACCAUGGAAGUCUGCAAUGCCCGAAGCCGGUGGCCUAACCACUUAUGUGGAAGGAGCCGUCUAAGGCAGGGCAGAUGACUGGGGUGAAGUCGUAACAAGGUACC